AGCAGCCGCGGCAAUUCCAGCUCCAAUAGCGUAUAUUAAAGUUGUUGCAGUUAAAAAGCUCGUAGUUGAACUUCAGGCCUGUCCAGAUGGUCCGCCUUAAUUGGUGUGUACUGUCCUUGGGUGGGUCCUACCUUCUGGCGAAGCGGCAUGGCCUUAAUUGGUUGUGUCGGGGAACCAGGACUUUUACUGUAGAAAAAAUUGAGUGUUCAAAGCAGGCAUUAUAUGCUCGAAUACAUUAGCAUGGAAUAAUGGAAUUAGGACGAUGGUUCUAUUUUGUUGGUUCUAGGACCGUUGUAAUGAUUAAUAGGGAUAGUUGGGGGCAUUAGUAUUCAAUUGUCAGAGGUGAAAUUCUUGGAUUUUAUUGAAGACUAACUACUGCGAAAGCAUUUGCCUAAGGAUGUUUUCAUUAAUCAAGAACGAAAGUUAGGGGAUCGAAGACGAUCAGAUACCGUCGUAGUCUUAACCAUAAACUAUAGCCGACUAGGAAUUCGGGCGAGUGUUGGUACAAAAUGUAACUCGU
This 520-nucleotide ribosomal RNA is filed under the name uncultured Paraglomus. Its description in RNAcentral is "bacterial SSU rRNA". It matches the Rfam family "Eukaryotic small subunit ribosomal RNA", at positions 569 to 1078 of the family's 1831-position model. Lineage: Eukaryota; Fungi; Glomeromycota; Glomeromycetes; Paraglomerales; Paraglomeraceae. The record is from RNAcentral.